GUUCAAUCCCAGGUCGUUUUCCCUUUCAGCUGCAAUGCCGGGAUUUUAAAUAGCAGAGAUGAAAGGCCCCUGCCCCCGCCUCCCUCCUCCCCUGAGUUCAUGUAUUAUGAAUGAAACGGCAGCCUCGCUGCUUCCUGAGGUGCUCCACUUCAGGCUGGGGUGCAAUGGCUCGAUCUCGGCUCAGUGCAACCUCUGCUUCCCGGGUUCAAGUGAUUCUCCUGCGUCAGCCUCCCAAGCAGCUGUGAAUACAGGUUGGAGUGCAGUGGUGCUGUGUCUGGAGUUUGUUCCUGCCGUUGGGUUUGUGGUCUUGCUGACUUCAAGAAUGAAGCCACGGACCUUCACGAGAAAUAUUACGUUGUAUGGAUGUACCACUGUUUGUUUAUCCAUUCUUCAGGUGAAGGACAUGUGGGUUGUGCCCAGCGCGGGCUGA
This 430-nucleotide long non-coding RNA is filed under the name Homo sapiens (human). RNAcentral describes it as "non-protein coding lnc-ACTR2-3:13". Lineage: Eukaryota; Metazoa; Chordata; Mammalia; Primates; Hominidae. The record is from RNAcentral.